CCCCAACGGAUCAUCCUGAAAGCACGACAUUGCUCACAUUGCUUCCAGUAUUUCUUAGCCAGCCGGGUGCUGGCUUUUUUUU
This 82-nucleotide non-coding RNA is filed under the name Cronobacter sakazakii ATCC BAA-894. The record is from RNAcentral. Lineage: Bacteria; Pseudomonadati; Pseudomonadota; Gammaproteobacteria; Enterobacterales; Enterobacteriaceae.